AUUGAACGCUGGCGGCAUGCCUUACACAUGCAAGUCGAACGGUAACGGGCCUUCGGGUGCCGACGAGUGGCGCACGGGUGAGUAAUACAUCGGAACGUGCCCGAUCGUGGGGGAUAAUGAGGCGAAAGCUUUGCUAAUACCGCAUACGAUCUACGGAUGAAAGCAGGGGACCGCAAGGCCUUGCGCGGACGGAGCGGCCGAUGGCAGAUUAGGUAGUUGGUGGGAUAAAAGCUUACCAAGCCGACGAUCUGUAGCUGGUCUGAGAGGAUGAUCAGCCACACUGGGACUGAGACACGGCCCAGACUCCUACGGGAGGCAGCAGUGGGGAAUUUUGGACAAUGGGCGCAAGCCUGAUCCAGCCAUGCCGCGUGCAGGAUGAAGGCCUUCGGGUUGUAAACUGCUUUUGUACGGAACGAAAAGCCUUCUUUUAAUACAGGAGGGUCAUGACGGUACCGUAAGAAUAAGCACCGGCUAACUACGUG
This 482-nucleotide ribosomal RNA is filed under the name uncultured bacterium. RNAcentral's name for it is "partial 16S ribosomal RNA". It matches the Rfam family "Bacterial small subunit ribosomal RNA", at positions 30 to 507 of the family's 1533-position model. The record is from RNAcentral.